RNAcentral lists this ribosomal RNA (253 nucleotides) under uncultured bacterium. RNAcentral's name for it is "partial 16S ribosomal RNA". It matches the Rfam family "Bacterial small subunit ribosomal RNA", at positions 524 to 776 of the family's 1533-position model. The record is from RNAcentral.
UACAGAGGGGGCAAGCGUUGUUCGGAAUUACUGGGCGUAAAGGGCGCGUAGGCGGCCCGCUAAGUCGAACGUGAAAUCCCCGAGCUCAACUCGGGAACUGCGUCCGAUACUGGCGGGCUUGAAUCCGGGAGAGGGAUGCGGAAUUCCAGGUGUAGCGGUGAAAUGCGUAGAUAUCUGGAGGAAUACCGGUGGCGAAGGCGGCAUCCUGGACCGAUAUUGACACUGAUGAGCGAAAGCUAGGGGAGCAAACGGG